ACCUGGCUAGCUCAGUGGGUGGAGCAUGUGACUCUUGAUCUCAGGGUUGUGAGUUCGAGCCCCACGCUAGGUG
RNAcentral lists this transfer RNA (73 nucleotides) under Felis catus (domestic cat). It matches the Rfam family "tRNA". From Rfam's summary of the family: Transfer RNA (tRNA) molecules are approximately 80 nucleotides in length. Lineage: Eukaryota; Metazoa; Chordata; Mammalia; Carnivora; Felidae. The record is from Rfam by way of RNAcentral. RNAcentral also lists the same sequence under 2 other names.